RNAcentral lists this ribosomal RNA (468 nucleotides) under uncultured bacterium. Its description in RNAcentral is "partial 16S ribosomal RNA". It matches the Rfam family "Bacterial small subunit ribosomal RNA", at positions 28 to 507 of the family's 1533-position model. The record is from RNAcentral.
GACGAACGCUGGCGGCGUGCUUAACACAUGCCAGUCGAACGGAAAGGCCCUGCUUUUGUGGGUUGCUCGAGUGGCGAACGGGUGAGUAACACGUGAGUAACCUGCCCUUGACUUUGGGAUAACUUCAGGAAACUGGGGCUAAUACCGGAUAGGAGCUCCUGCUCCAUGGUGGUGGUUGGAAAGUUUCGGCGGUUGGGGAUGGACUCGCGGCUUAUCAGCUUGUUGGUGGGGUAGUGGCUUACCAAGGCUUUGACGGGUAGCCGGCCUGAGAGGGUGACCGGCCACAUGGGGACUGAGAGACGGCGCAGACUCCUACGGGAGGCAGCAGUGGGGAAUAUUGCACAAUGGGCGGAAGCCUGAUGCAGCAGCGCCGCGUGCGGGAUGACGGGCUUCGGGUUAUAAACCGCUUUCGCCUGUGACGAAGCGUGAGUGACGGUAAUGGGUAAAGAAGCACCGGCUAACUACGUG